RNAcentral lists this ribosomal RNA (281 nucleotides) under Morganella morganii. RNAcentral's name for it is "partial 23S ribosomal RNA". It matches the Rfam family "Bacterial large subunit ribosomal RNA", at positions 1051 to 1334 of the family's 2925-position model. The record is from RNAcentral. Lineage: Bacteria; Pseudomonadati; Pseudomonadota; Gammaproteobacteria; Enterobacterales; Morganellaceae.
AGCGUUCUAAGGGCGUUGAAGGCAGAUCGUGAGGACUGCUGGAGCGCUUAGAAGUGAGAAUGCCGGUAUGAGUAGCGAAAGACAGGUGAGAAUCCUGUCGAGUGACCCUGCGCCGAAAAUGUACCGGGGCUAAACAUAUUACCGAAGCUGUCGGAGUACACCUUUAGGUGUAUUGGUAGGAGAGCGUUCUAAGGGCGUUGAAGGCAGAUCGUGAGGACUGCUGGAGCGCUUAGAAGUGAGAAUGCCGGUAUGAGUAGCGAAAGACAGGUGAGAAUCCUGUC